UACGGGGGGAGCAAGCGUUGUUCGGAUUUACUGGGCGUAAAGGGCGCGUAGGCGGUCAGCACAAGUCAGUUGUGAAAUCCCUCAGCUUAACUGGGGAACUGCGUCUGAGACUGGCAAGCUCGAGUGCAGGAGAGGAACGCGGAAUUCCAGGUGUAGCGGUGAAAUGCGUAGAUAUCUGGAGGAACACCGGUGGCGAAGGCGGCGUUCUGGACUGCAACUGACACUGAGGAACGAAAGCCAGGGGAGCAAACGGG
RNAcentral lists this ribosomal RNA (254 nucleotides) under uncultured bacterium. RNAcentral's name for it is "partial 16S ribosomal RNA". It matches the Rfam family "Bacterial small subunit ribosomal RNA", at positions 524 to 776 of the family's 1533-position model. The record is from RNAcentral.